Molecule: ribosomal RNA, 500 nt
Filed under: uncultured bacterium
Lineage: Bacteria
Description: partial 16S ribosomal RNA
Rfam family: Bacterial small subunit ribosomal RNA
Source: RNAcentral
AUUGAACGCUGGCGGCAUGCUUUACACAUGCAAGUCGAACGGUAACAGGGUGCUUGCACCGCUGACGAGUGGCGAACGGGUGAGUAAUGCGUCGGAACGUGCCGAGUAGUGGGGGAUAACGCAGCGAAAGUUGUGCUAAUACCGCAUACGUACUGAGGUAGAAAGUGGGGGACCUUCGGGCCUCACGCUAUUCGAGCGGCCGACGUCUGAUUAGCUAGUAGGUGAGGUAAAGGCUCACCUAGGCGACGAUCAGUAGCGGGUCUGAGAGGAUGAUCCGCCACACUGGGACUGAGACACGGCCCAGACUCCUACGGGAGUCAGCAGUGGGGAAUUUUGGACGAUGGGCGAAAGCCUGAUCCAGCCAUGCCGCGUGUCUGAAGAAGGCCUUCGGGUUGUAAAGGACUUUUGUCAGGGAGGAAAUCCCUAGUGCUAAUAACACUGGGGGAUGACAGUACCUGAAGAAUAAGCACCGGCUAACUACGUGCCAGCCGCCGCAGUAA